UUGUUUUUUUUCCAAAGACAAGGUCUUGAGAAAUAAAGCUUGAAUUUUGCCUGUUGUGUUAAUGUGUCACGACAGUCUGAAGAAGGAAGAAGACUCAAGUAGCUGUUUUCAAGUCUCUGAUAUAAUGCAAUAGCAUUGAAGAUUCUGAUGAAUUUGGUCUUGAGUUCCAUAAGCAAUUAAAUUACAACAUCCUCCUGAUUCCUCUGGAUGUGCAUUUCUCACAUGGAGGAGUCUCUCAG
RNAcentral lists this small RNA (239 nucleotides) under Phascolarctos cinereus (koala). RNAcentral's name for it is "SMAD5 antisense RNA 1 conserved region 1 (ENSPCIG00000029562.2)". The record is from RNAcentral. Lineage: Eukaryota; Metazoa; Chordata; Mammalia; Diprotodontia; Phascolarctidae.